RNAcentral lists this unclassified non-coding RNA (228 nucleotides) under uncultured fungus. RNAcentral's name for it is "sequence contains ITS1, 5.8S rRNA gene". The stretch from base 180 to 228 matches the Rfam family "5.8S ribosomal RNA", at positions 1 to 49 of the family's 154-position model. Lineage: Eukaryota; Fungi. The record is from RNAcentral.
UUUCCGUAGGUGAACCUGCGGAAGGAUCAUUACUGAGUGAGGGUCUCCGGGCCCGACCUCCAACCCUUUUGUGAACCACCUCGUUGCUUCGGGGGCGACCCGGCCUUCGGGCGUCGGGGCCCCCGGAGCCCAUCAAACCCUGCGUAACUAAGUCGUCGGAGUUUAAACAAAUUAAACAAAACUUUCAACAACGGAUCUCUUGGUUCGGGCAUCGAUGAAGAACGCAGC